GUGAGGAAUAUUGCGCAAUGGAGGCAACUCUGACGCAGCCAUGCCGCGUGCAGGAAGAAGGCGCUACGCGUUGUAAACUGCUUUUAACCGGGAAGAAACCCCAGGACGUGUCCUGGGUUGACGGUACCGGAGGAAUAAGCACCGGCUAACUUCGUGCCAGCAGCCGCGGUAAUACGAAGGGUGCAAGCGUUAUCCGGAUUCAUUGGUUUUAAAGGGUGCGUAGGCGGAGCGUUAAGUCAGUGGUGAAAUCCUGCAGCUUAACUGUAGACUUGCCAUUGAUACUGGCGAUCUUGAGUGCGCUUGAAGUGGGCGGAAUGUGCCGUGUAGCGGUGAAAUGCUUAGAUAUGGCACAGAACACCAAUUGCGAAGGCAGCUCACUAAGGCGAUACUGACGCUGAGGCACGAAAGCGUGGGGAUCGAACAGGAUUAGAAACCCCUGUAGUCC
RNAcentral lists this ribosomal RNA (445 nucleotides) under uncultured bacterium. RNAcentral describes it as "partial 16S ribosomal RNA". It matches the Rfam family "Bacterial small subunit ribosomal RNA", at positions 354 to 796 of the family's 1533-position model. The record is from RNAcentral.